UAAUUUACCCCUUCAUUCUUCAAAUUAUAUUCCCAAAUGUUGCCUCUGGUUCUUCUCCUUCCUUCUCCAAUCUAAAUCUCUUUGCCCAUUGAUCUUCUUCCUAAAAACAAAGCGAAAAUGAGAGAGUGCAUUUUGAUCCACAUUAGACAGGCCGGUAUUGAGGGAGUUCUACUGCCUUGACCAUGACAUUGAACGGCGGAGCGAGAAGGAAAUUGUUCAAAUCUAAGCCAAUCCUUGAUGAAAAUUGGCGAGGCUGGUCGCGUUAGAACCGCUAGGAUGAGGCGAAUCAAAUGAUGGUAGUCCGCUAGGAAUUCGUCCGAAUGGCGAUGAAUCAAGGCGAGAACCGUUCAGAGUUCGUGAUCGGAGCCAACUCUUUCCGAUCAAUAAAAAUCCAAAUUUAUGGUAUGAAAAUAUUCAUCUUGGUGAGAGGGUUGCAACGGUAUAUGAUAUGCCCAGGAAUUCAUUGGGACGACGCCGGAAUCUUAGAGAGAAGAUUCUGACCGAAAAAGGGGGCGAUCCCAUCGACUUCGGCCGGUGCGUGGGCUGCUGGAAAUAAUCACAAUAGAGUGAGUGGUCAAGCUUUGGAAUUCAAGCAGCUCAAUAUUCCUUAUCACUUUUGUUGAGUCUGCUCUUCCAAAGAGCAAGUACGAAGAAGAUGUUUACAUAAACAAUCAUACAAGUGUUUGGGGUUCAUGGUGGAAGGAUCAUCAAUGGGGUUACAAGUGCUGCCAUCAGACAGUUAGAAACAGCUAUUGUACAGGGGCUGCUAGUAUUGAGGUUGCUGAAGCUGCAGCAGAUCUUAUGAAAGCUAAUAUUGCUUGGAAAGAGGCUACUGAAGGAGGACGAGAGGAGGAGAGAAGAGCGGGAUGAGAGGAAACGCAAGUACUUUAUCCCAAUUGGCACAAUCCCAAUAAUAGUCCCAAAUUAAUCGGGUUAAAUCCAUUUUGACCCCCUGUGAUAUAACAAAAUAUCAAAAACCCCUUUAUGAAAUUUUUAAUAUCAAAAGUCAUCCCUAUAUUACCAAUAAAUAAUCACACCACUCCUGAUCAAUUUGAAUCUAUUUUUUUAGAAACAAUGACUAAAAUCUAGUCAAACCGGUCAACUAGGCUUAUUAAUAUAUAAUUAUUUUAAUUUAUAAUUUUUAACAUAUAUUUAU
Molecule: non-coding RNA, 1156 nt
Organism: Sesamum indicum (sesame)
Lineage: Eukaryota; Viridiplantae; Streptophyta; Magnoliopsida; Lamiales; Pedaliaceae
Source: RefSeq, a predicted model, not a curated record